AUGAAGCGCAAAAACAAGGAGCAGAGGAGGGCCGAUGGAAUCACCGAUAGAGGUAGUGAUUCGCUGGAGACCAUGCGCCCGAACAAGAAGCAGAGGCUCGGCGGUAGCAGCGGUAGCAAUGAGGAGCGUGAGCCCUCGCCCUACCUGGUGGUAGGCCAUGGGAGUGUGAGCCCUGCCUUCUCCGUGUUCAAGGUGGAACCCUACACCGACGGCGGCGGCGGCGACACCCCGGUGAGCAUCCCGCGCCGCCUCGCCCGCCUCAAAUGCAAACACAACAUGUGUUUCGUCCCUUUGACAUUGAAGGACCGCCGGUGGAUCGUCGGCGUCGGCGGCAGCUCAACCAAGAACUACUACGGCCCGGGGACCAUCGUUUUCGACACCGAGAAGCAGUUGGUGAUCCGGGGCCCGGAACCUAAGUCGAUCAAGAGCCUCCCGAUCCUGCUACCCAUCUUGCAUCGAUUACUCUCUUUCCCGAAGCCCCUCAGUGAAGGGACCGCUCGAUUACUUGCCCUGGUUCGAGGUCCUCGACCUCUCCCAGGCACAGGCAGUCGACGGCCGUCUAACCAACUGCAAGUGGAGGUCCCUGCAGCGGCCACCCUUCUUUCCCUGGGAGCUCACCCCACGGCAGUACUGUUGUCCACCGAGGGUUGCCGUCGAGUCAUACGUCGCCGUGGGCUCCCACAUAUUGGUUUCUGUGACCGGACGGGUGGGCACGUACGCUUUUGA
Molecule: ribosomal RNA, 726 nt
Filed under: Triticum aestivum (bread wheat)
Lineage: Eukaryota; Viridiplantae; Streptophyta; Magnoliopsida; Poales; Poaceae
Description: partial small subunit ribosomal RNA
Source: RNAcentral